This 199-nucleotide microRNA precursor is filed under the name Setaria italica (foxtail millet). Its description in RNAcentral is "MIR1435 microRNA precursor family". It matches the Rfam family "MIR1435 microRNA precursor family". Lineage: Eukaryota; Viridiplantae; Streptophyta; Magnoliopsida; Poales; Poaceae. The record is from Rfam by way of RNAcentral.
UAGCUUUGUUCUAAGUCAAACCUAUCCAACUUUGACCAAGUUUAUAGAAAAAAUAUAUUAACAUCUACAAUAUAGGUAAAUGCACAGCCAAUAUAUAUUGCAUGGUGUAUCCAUUGAAAGUAGUUUGAUGUUGUAGACAUUAGUGAAUUUUUCAUAAACUUGGUCAAAGCUAGAGAAGUUUGACUUUGGACCAACCUAG